ACACUGGGAUCAUGACCUGAGCUGAAGGCAGAUGCUUAACCAACUGAGCCACCCAGGUGCCCCCGUUUCAGAGAACUUAAAUCUAUAAUAUUCGAUAUAUUCUGUCAGCUGCUUCAUUGGAGAAGCUGUAUGUAUUUUUGUUUUAUGAUGUUUUCUAGUCUCAAAGUGUACUCUAGAAAUAAGAAAUGUCAGAUCUGUAUCCUCUCUGCAGAUUUUGGAGCAUAUAAACUAUGCCCCAGUUUGUUACUGGAAAUAGAAAGGUGGUGGUGAUCCACCAUGCUGUGAUGAUGCUCACAGUCUAACUGGAGGGCUAGUGAGUAACUGGAAUGCUUACAAAUUCUCUAAUGGAGUUAUCUGCAAAGUACUGAGGUUCAGAAGUAUGAGAGAGGGAUCCAUCCUACCCAGAGAAAACCUCACGGAAGAGAGAUGAAUGACUGCUUCGCCUUUGGGGAGUGAAAUGCAGCUCAUCUGUCUGUGGUACAGAAGAUGGAGAGACAUGAUCUGAUUCAGACUUGAUUUUUUGGCAAGAAUACUUGAUAGAAGUGGAGGAGGGGGGUGCCAUCUUGGUCUUCCAAGUGCCGUGGAUUGGUUAUCACCGGCCACUUUACCUACUCCUGCUCUGCCCUGCAUAACACAAGUAAUCAGCGAUCACUAUACUGUUUCUGAAGCAGCACAACAGCUGAAUUCCUGAAGAAUCCCUGAAUACCUGAGGAACUCCAAAAAGAUUGGCGUUUGCUUAAUCCUCACCUGAAAGAAAUAGUCUAAGAUUCGCAUCCCGUUCUCCCUAGAGAGAUAGAAGACUGAUGUGAUCCAGAGAAGAAGGAAAAGAAGAGAAAUUGCAACCCUAAAGCGAGAGAGGGGAACACAAGCAAGGCGAGAGGGAGA
This is a non-coding RNA of Callorhinus ursinus (northern fur seal), 885 nucleotides long. NCBI's taxonomy places the organism in Eukaryota, Metazoa, Chordata, Mammalia, Carnivora, Otariidae. The record is from RefSeq and is a predicted model, not a curated record.